GUGGGGAAUAUUGGACAAUGGGGGGAACCCUGAUCCAGCCAUGCCGCGUGUGUGAAGAAGGCCUUUUGGUUGUAAAGCACUUUAAGCGAGGAGGAGGCUACCGAGAUUAAUACUCUUGGAUAGUGGACGUUACUCGCAGAAUAAGCACCGGCUAACUCUGUGCCAGCAGCCGCGGUAAUACAGAGGGUGCAAGCGUUAAUCGGAUUUACUGGGCGUAAAGCGCGCGUAGGUGGCCAAUUAAGUCAAAUGUGAAAUCCCCGAGCUUAACUUGGGAAUUGCAUUAGUUACUAGUUGGCUAGAGUAUGGGAGAAGAUGGUAGAAUUCCAGGUGUAGCGGUGAAAUGCGUAGAGAUCUGGAGGAAUACCGAUGGCGAAGGCAGCCAUCUGGCCUAAUACUGACACUGAGGUGCGAAAGCAUGGGGAGCAAACAGGAUUAGAUACCCCAGUAGUCC
This 451-nucleotide ribosomal RNA is filed under the name uncultured bacterium. Its description in RNAcentral is "partial 16S ribosomal RNA". It matches the Rfam family "Bacterial small subunit ribosomal RNA", at positions 354 to 796 of the family's 1533-position model. The record is from RNAcentral.